RNAcentral lists this unclassified non-coding RNA (347 nucleotides) under soil metagenome. Its description in RNAcentral is "partial contains 5.8S ribosomal RNA, internal transcribed spacer 2, and large subunit ribosomal RNA". The stretch from base 3 to 119 matches the Rfam family "5.8S ribosomal RNA", at positions 38 to 154 of the family's 154-position model. The record is from RNAcentral.
GAGAAGAACGUAGCAAAAUGCGAUAAGUAAUGUGAAUUGCAGAAUUCAGUGAAUCAUCGAAUCUUUGAACGCACAUUGCGCCCGCUGGUAUUCCGGCGGGCAUGCCUGUUCGAGCGUCAUUUCAACCCUCAAGCCCCCGGGUUUGGUGUUGGGGAUCGGCUCUGCCCUUCUGGGCGGUGCCGCCCCCGAAAUACAUUGGCGGUCUCGCUGCAGCCUCCAUUGCGUAGUAGCUAACACCUCGCAACUGGAACGCGGCGCGGCCAUGCCGUAAAACCCCAACUUCUGAAUGUUGACCUCGGAUCAGGUAGGAAUACCCGCUGAACUUAAGCAUAUCAAUAAGCGGAGGA